This 641-nucleotide long non-coding RNA is filed under the name Homo sapiens (human). RNAcentral describes it as "HSALNT0402789". Lineage: Eukaryota; Metazoa; Chordata; Mammalia; Primates; Hominidae. The record is from RNAcentral.
AAACCCAAAACAAUGGGAGUGACAUGCAAACCGGAACCCAAAACAAUGGGAGUGAUGUGCUUAAACCGGAACCCAAAACAAUGGUAGUGACCCGCUAAAGCAGAAACCCAAAACAAUGGGAGUGUCCUGCUAAACCAGAAACCCAAAACAAUGGGAGUGACGUGUAAAACCAGAAACCCAAAACAAUGGGAGCGUCCUGCUAAACCAGAAACCCAAAACAAUGAGAGUGACAUGAUAAACCAGAAACCCAAAACAAUGGGAGUGACGUGCUAAAACCUGGAAACCCAAAACAAUGGGAGUGAGGUGCUAAAACCAGAUACACAAAACAAUGGGAGUGACGUGCUAAAACCAGAACCCAAAACAAUGUGAGUGACGUGCUAAACCAGAACCCAAAACAAUGGGAGUGACGUGCUAAAACAGGAACCCAAAACAAUGAGAGUGACGUGCUAAACCAGAAACCCAAAACAAUGGGAAUGACGUGCUAAAACCGGAACCCAAAACAAUGGUAACUAAGAGUGAUGCUAAGGCCCUACAUUUUGGUCACACUCUCAACUAAGUGAGAACUUGACUGAAAAGGAGGAUUUUUUUUUUCUAAGACAGAGUUUUGGUCUGUCCCCCAGAGUGGAGUGCAGUGGCAUGAU